RNAcentral lists this transfer RNA (77 nucleotides) under Burkholderia cepacia. RNAcentral's name for it is "tRNA-Pro". It matches the Rfam family "tRNA". Rfam says of the family: Transfer RNA (tRNA) molecules are approximately 80 nucleotides in length. Their secondary structure includes four short double-helical elements and three loops (D, anti-codon, and T loops). Further hydrogen bonds mediate the characteristic L-shaped molecular structure. tRNAs have two regions of fundamental functional importance: the anti-codon, which is responsible for specific mRNA codon recognition, and the 3' end, to which the tRNAs corresponding amino acid is attached (by aminoacyl-tRNA synthetases). tRNAs cope with the degeneracy of the genetic code in two manners: having more than one tRNA (with a specific anti-codon) for a particular amino acid; and 'wobble' base-pairing, i.e. permitting non-standard base-pairing at the 3rd anti-codon position. Lineage: Bacteria; Pseudomonadati; Pseudomonadota; Betaproteobacteria; Burkholderiales; Burkholderiaceae. The record is from RNAcentral.
CGGAGCGUAGCGCAGUCUGGCAGCGCAUCUGGUUUGGGACCAGAGGUUCGAAGGUUCGAAUCCUUUCGCUCCGACCA